GACGAACGCUGGCGGCGCGCCUAACACAUGCAAGUCGAACGAGCGAGAGAGAGCUUGCUUUCUCAAGCGAGUGGCGAACGGGUGAGUAACGCGUGAGGAACCUGCCUCAAAGAGGGGGACAACAGUUGGAAACGACUGCUAAUACCGCAUAAGCCCACAGGUCGGCAUCGACCAGAGGGAAAAGGAGCAAUCCGCUUUGAGAUGGCCUCGCGUCCGAUUAGCUAGUUGGUGAGGUAACGGCCCACCAAGGCAACGAUCGGUAGCCGGACUGAGAGGUUGAACGGCCACAUUGGGACUGAGACACGGCCCAGACUCCUACGGGAGGCAGCAGUGGGGAAUAUUGCACAAUGGGGGAAACCCUGAUGCAGCGAGGCCGCGUGGAGGAAGAAGGUCUUCGGAUUGUAAACGCCUGUUGUUGAGGAAGAUAAUGACGGUACUCAACAAGGAAGUGACGGCUAACUACGU
This 465-nucleotide ribosomal RNA is filed under the name uncultured bacterium. RNAcentral's name for it is "partial 16S ribosomal RNA". It matches the Rfam family "Bacterial small subunit ribosomal RNA", at positions 28 to 506 of the family's 1533-position model. The record is from RNAcentral.